ACCUAUAGAUACACAGAGAGAGAAACAAACCCACCCCCAAAGGCAAAAAUCAUUCCUUUUGAAGAUCUUGAUCGACAAAAACGGUGUGUGUGUAAACUACAACUGGGUUUGCCAUUGUUACCGGUAAAGAAUCAAGAUUUUUUACAAAUAUGCAAAAGAAAAGAUGGAGGAAGUUAGGGUUCUUAAGGCGAGUGCUAACGUGCGCCAUAGCUUUGAUCUCUUUGGUGGCUUUGUUUUCUGCUCAUUUGCAUCUCUUCUUCCCUCCUUCACGUGUUUCCAUGCUUCCUGAUCCUUAUAAGCUCCCUACGCAACACGAAAUUCAAUACCAAAAGUUGAGCAGAGAGCGAAGCUGGAUUCAACCCCAUUUGUCAAAAGCUCCUCUCCCUGCUCUCAAGUUGGAUGGUGCUCCUAACCGCUCGUUGGAAUCCAACAAAUUGUGGAAGCCUCCACCCAACCGCGACUUUACCCCUUGUGUUGACCCAACUUCAUCCUAUUUAGCUCCACAAGAAUCUCGAGGUUACUUGCUUGUUCAUACAAACGGUGGCCUCAAUCAAAUGCGUGCCGGGAUAUGUGAUAUGGUAGCUGUUGCUCGUAUUAUAAAUGCUACUCUGGUAGUGCCAGAGCUCGAUAAACGGUCGUUUUGGCAAGAUACAAGCAACUUCUCUGAUGUAUUCGAUGAAGAUUAUUUCAUUACCGCAUUGGCUAAUGAUGUAAAAAUAAUCAGAAAACUUCCGAAAGAACUAAUGACCGCUACGAGAGCUGUUAAGCACUUUAGAAGCUGGUCAGGUAUUGAUUACUAUGAGCAAGAGAUUGCAAGCUUGUGGGAUGAUUAUCAGGUUAUUCGUGCAGCAAAAUCGGAUUCAAGAUUAGCCAACAAUAACCUUCCUCCUGAUAUUCAGAAAUUACGUUGUCGUGCAUGUUAUGAAGCCCUCCGUUUCUCCCCUCGUAUAGAAGCAAUGGGAAAAUUGUUAGUGGACCGAAUGAGGUCGUAUGGUCCUUACAUUGCUUUGCAUUUGAGGUAUGAAAAAGACAUGCUUGCUUUUAGUGGAUGCACACAUGAUUUGUCCAUUGAAGAAGCUAAUGAACUUACGGCUAUUAGAGAAAAUACGUCUUAUUGGAAAGUGAAAGAUAUUGAUUCCACUGAACAAAGAGCAAAAGGGUAUUGUCCAUUAACUCCAAAAGAAGUUGGAAUAUUCCUUCGGGCACUUGGAUUUCCACCUACAACUCCUAUAUAUAUUGCUGCUGGUGAAAUAUACGGUGGAGAUUCCCGUAUGGCUGAUAUCACCUCGAUUUUCCCCAUUUUAAUGAAAAAGGAAAAAUUGGCGACAGUUGAAGAACUUGAUCCUUUCAUCAACCAUGCAUCUCAAAUGGCUGCGUUAGACUACAUUGUAUCUGUGGAAAGUGACAUUUUUAUCCCUUCGUAUUCUGGGAAUAUGGCAAGGGCUGUCGAGGGCCAUAGACGCUUUUUGGGACACCGAAAAACUAUUUCUCCUGACAGAAAACUCCUUGUUCGAAUUUUUGACAAAAUCGCUAAUGGCACAAUGAAAGAAGGCAAGAAGCUUUCAAGUCGGAUAAUUGAAAUGCACAAAAGACGGCAAGGUUCACCAAGGAAGAGAAAGGGCCCAAUCACGGGGACAAAAGGAACCGACAGGUUCCGUUCAGAAGAAGCAUUUUACGUGAACCCGUUGCCCGAUUGCUUAUGUCAAAAGGAAUCAACAGAGAAUGAAAAUAGCACCACCGCUGUCAUCAGAUAGAUCCCGUAAACGGCUUGUUCUGAAGCACGCAGAAGCUGCUGACAUGGCGACCGCGUUUCCAGGAUAACGGGUGUGGAGGACGGUAGUCCCGUGAGGAUGAUCUGCCACGUGCGUCCACGUCAGGUGUGGGGGAUGAGCCUAAAUGGAUGGGUCUAUGGUGUGGGGAUGAGCCCCUUUAUAUAUUCAUAUGUAGUGGAGAGUUCAAAUGAGAAGAAAUUUUUUGUAAGAAGAAUUUUCAACCAAUAAAAAUGCUUUAUUUUACUUCA
RNA transcript from Helianthus annuus (common sunflower), 2020 nucleotides. It is a transcript of the gene named O-fucosyltransferase 7, with no coding region annotated. The record is from RefSeq and is a predicted model, not a curated record. The transcript is spliced from 13 exons. Lineage: Eukaryota; Viridiplantae; Streptophyta; Magnoliopsida; Asterales; Asteraceae.